UACGAAGGGGGCUAGCGUUGCUCGGAAUCACUGGGCGUAAAGGGUGCGUAGGCGGGGCUUUAAGUCAGGGGUGAAAUCCUGGAGCUCAACUCCAGAACUGCCUUUGAUACUGAGGAUCUUGAGUCCGGGAGAGGUGAGUGGAACUGCGAGUGUAGAGGUGAAAUUCGUAGAUAUUCGCAAGAACACCCGUGGCGAAAGCGGCUCUCUGGGACGGUACUGACGCUGAGACGCGAAAGCGUGGGGAGCGAACAGG
This 253-nucleotide ribosomal RNA is filed under the name uncultured bacterium. Its description in RNAcentral is "partial 16S ribosomal RNA". It matches the Rfam family "Bacterial small subunit ribosomal RNA", at positions 524 to 776 of the family's 1533-position model. The record is from RNAcentral.